CAAAAUAGCGAGCUCCUUAGCUGACCUACCUAACCCCCCUGCAGGUACGGUAUUCAGCCGAUCGGUACAGUUGGAAACGGCUGUACUUCCCCUGCUUUGGAAAGGAGUACAAUGUAGUAGCGG
This 123-nucleotide non-coding RNA is filed under the name Sporomusa sphaeroides. Its description in RNAcentral is "Sporomusa sp. MoCo sequence". It matches the Rfam family "Molybdenum/Tungsten riboswitch aptamer (Moco RNA motif)". The record is from RNAcentral. RNAcentral also lists the same sequence under 1 other name. Lineage: Bacteria; Bacillati; Bacillota; Negativicutes; Selenomonadales; Sporomusaceae.